UUGGACCUGAUAUCAGACAAGACUACCCGCUGAACAUUAAGCCUAUCAUAAGGCGGAAGGAAACACACCCUCAAAGAAAAUAAGGUUUCAUCUUUCUCCACGAACAAACGAUCUCCUAGCAAAAGGUGUGC
RNAcentral lists this ribosomal RNA (131 nucleotides) under Globisporangium ultimum. Its description in RNAcentral is "partial 28S ribosomal RNA". Lineage: Eukaryota; Oomycota; Peronosporomycetes; Pythiales; Pythiaceae. The record is from RNAcentral.